Molecule: non-coding RNA, 821 nt
Filed under: Abaria herringbona
Lineage: Eukaryota; Metazoa; Arthropoda; Insecta; Trichoptera; Xiphocentronidae
Source: RNAcentral
AAAAUUUAUUUUAAAUUUGAUAUUUAGUUUUUAUUUUAUAUUUAUAUAAGAUUUUUCUUAAUAAAUUUUAUUAUUUAAAAAAUAAUAAAUUUAAUUUAAUUAUAAUAUAUAUAUAUUUUUAAUUUAAUGAAAUUUAAAUAAAGAAAAUUAAAUUUAUUAUUGUUAAAAUUUUGUGCCAGCAAUCGCGGUUAAACAUAAAAUAAUUAAAUAUUAUUAUUAAUAAUAAAUAAUCUUAUAAUUAAUUAAUAUAAUUUAUAUUUAUAUUUAAAAGUAAAAUUUAUAAUUUAAAUAAAAAUUUAUUUUUAAUUAUUUAUUUAAUUUUAAAAAAUUUAUUUAAAACUAGGAUUAGAUACCCUAUUAUAAAAUCAUAAAAAGAAAAAUAAAAUAUUAAAAGUUAAAUACUUAAAAUUUAAUAAAUAUGGCAGUAUUUUAAUCAAUUUAGAGGAAUUUGUUUAUUAAUUGAUAAUACACAAUUAACUUUACUUAUUUAUAUUUGUAUAUCGUUGUUAUAAAUUUAUUUUUUAUAAAAUAAAAUAUUUUAAAAUUAAAAUUAUAAAUUAUAUCAAAUCAAGAUACAGUAUUAAUAAGAAUAUUAUGAAUUACAUUAAUUUAAAUAAUUUUGGAUAAUUUUAUGAAAAAUAAUUUGAAAUUGGAUUUAAAAGUAAUUAGAUUAAAUUAAAUUUAAUGAUUUAAGUUUUAAAAUAAGUACAUAUUGCCCGUCACUUUUAAUUAAUAAAAUUUAUUAUAUUUAUUUUUAAUAAAUUUUAUUAAAUUAAAAUAAGUCGUAACAAAGUAAAUGUACUGGAAAGUGUAUUUAGAAA